GCACUUGUUCGGAACCCUGCCUGGUCCAAGCGAGUAGCGAUUAGCCUGUCGUUUUCUGCUUCUUGAUUUUUCUUCUUUUCUUCAAUUUUUUCUAUGGUUGCGUUCCGUUGUUGCUGCAGUUUUUUGAGAUUCCUGGUAUAGUAAUGAGAUUCCUGAUAUGGUAAUGCGAUUAUUUUACAUUUUCUGGUUAGGAUCUUGCUGACGUGAGAAUUGAGAUCGAUCUGAAAGGCUUGAUUGUGCCUUCCCUACAUCAAUCCAUCUUGAAGUCUCUUGGAAAUUCCCCAAAAGCUAAAAAGAACCUGUUUGGUGGUUGCAUUGUUUGCUUUGGUAAUUCAACUUUGCUUUUGCUUGUUUCUUCUUUAUUCCGUGCCAAUGAUGAUUCACUUUCAAGGUGAAUUCUUUGAUGGUUGCAUUGUUGGCUUUGGUAAUUCAACUUUGCUUUUGCUUGUUUCUUCUUUAUUCCGUGCCAAUGAUGAUUCACUUUCAAGGUGAAUUCUUUGAUUGUUUUGUGAUGUUCUUGAGGCGUUCAACUGAGGCACGACCGAAUCGAAAUUUAAUUACUGCUUUGUAGUUCAUCAAAAUCUUGGCUUUAAUUCAGUAGUAGAAAAUUGAACUUUGAAACUUUGUAUUCGUGUCAAAUCUUUUUUUAUGUUACUCAUCUCAAGUGUACUAGUGAUGCUGAAUUUUGGAUGACUUUAUUUGCUGGUUCACAGCUACGGUGAUAUGCAUUUGAGGUGUACACCUGAGGCACGUCGCACGCUUGAAGAAGCCUAUGCACUUGUUCUUUCUGAUCCUUAAGUUUGAAGGUUCAUUCGUUUGGUCUUUCGAAUGGUUCUUAUUGCAUCAGCAGCUAAUUUCUUGCAUGAAAAUAGCGAUUUGCUUAGGUUACCCUGCACCUACUUUCAACAAAUAUGUCAUGUUUUUUCUCAUUCAUUUGUGAUUUGCCUCCAACGUCCUCAUGAGUUUGAUCAGUACAAUAUCAUGCAUUUUCUUAAUCAAGUGUAUGGUUUGGAAAAAAAGAUGCGUUGAAGUAUCAAUGCCAAUUAGAAUAAACUAGUGCUAACUUAGUCAUGCUAAAAUAACUAGCAUGAACCACGGAAGGAGGAAAUAACUGGAUUCGUGUGGCUGCAUGUAUGUAUGUUAAUUUGGACUUUAGACAUAAUAUAGCAUUAGUUUGUAUGGGGUGUGGGUUUUAUCUAUCUCGAUCUGGUCUUAAUAAAUUAAGAUUUUCUCUCAGUUCGGAUUCCAUCUCUGUUUGUAUCCUUUGUAAAUAAAGUACCUUAAUUUUGUAGUGAAAACUUUUAUAAGAAAACUACAGCGGUGGUUACCUUGGCGAAGUGAAGGGUGGUGGUUGGAACUUUGGUGACCAAAAAAUAUGUAAAGUGGUGGACAGAGAUAUAAAGUGGUGGAAAGCAUUGGAAUAUGAUACUUUGGUUUGUUUUGCAAAAUUUCAUUGUUAAGAGAAUUUUGGUUUGUUUUUCUAUUGAU
Molecule: long non-coding RNA, 1488 nt
Filed under: Zea mays
Lineage: Eukaryota; Viridiplantae; Streptophyta; Magnoliopsida; Poales; Poaceae
Description: drought-responsive long non-coding RNA
Source: RNAcentral